RNAcentral lists this ribosomal RNA (253 nucleotides) under uncultured bacterium. RNAcentral describes it as "partial 16S ribosomal RNA". It matches the Rfam family "Bacterial small subunit ribosomal RNA", at positions 524 to 776 of the family's 1533-position model. The record is from RNAcentral.
UACGGAGGGUGCAAACGUUGCUCGGAAUCAUUGGGCGUAAAGCGCACGUAGGCGGACCGCUAAGUCGAAUGUGAAACCUCGAGGCUCAACCUCGAGCCUGCAUUCGAUACUGGGCGGCUAGAGUCUGGUAGGGGGAUCUGGAAUUCCUGGUGUAGCGGUGGAAUGCGCAGAUAUCAGGAGGAACACCGGUGGCGAAGGCGGGAUCCUGGGCCAGUACUGACGCUGAGGAGCGAAAGCGUGGGGAGCAAACAGG